RNAcentral lists this ribosomal RNA (501 nucleotides) under uncultured bacterium. Its description in RNAcentral is "partial 16S ribosomal RNA". It matches the Rfam family "Bacterial small subunit ribosomal RNA", at positions 30 to 523 of the family's 1533-position model. The record is from RNAcentral.
AUUGAACGCUGGCGGCAGGCUUAACACAUGCAAGUCGAGCGGAGAUGAGGUGCUUGCACCUUAUCUUAGCGGCGGACGGGUGAGUAAUGCUUAGGAAUCUGCCUAUUAGUGGGGGACAACAUUCCGAAAGGAAUGCUAAUACCGCAUACGUCCUACGGGAGAAAGCAGGGGAUCUUCGGACCUUGCGCUAAUAGAUGAGCCUAAGUCGGAUUAGCUAGUUGGUGGGGUAAAGGCCUACCAAGGCGACGAUCUGUAGCGGGUCUGAGAGGAUGAUCCGCCAAACUGGGACUGAGACACAGCCCAGACUCCUACGGGAGGCAGCAGUGGGGAAUAUUGGACAAUGGGGGGAACCCUGAUCCAGCCAUGCCGCGUGUGUGAAGAAGGCCUUAUGGUUGUAAAGCACUUUAAGCGAGGAGGAGGCUCUUUUGGUUAAUACCCGAGAUGAGUGGACGUUACUCGCAGAAUAAGCACCGGCUAACUCUGUGCCAGCAGCCGCCGUAA